CCUACGGGCGGCAGCAGUGGGGAAUAUUGGACAAUGGGGGCAACCCUGAUCCAGCCAUGCCGCGUGUGUGAAGAAGGCCCUCGGGUUGUAAAGCACUUUCAGUGAGGAAGAACGCCUGGUGGUUAAUACCCAUCAGGAAAGACAUCACUCACAGAAGAAGCACCGGCUAACUCCGUGCCAGCAGCCGCGGUAAUACGGAGGGUGCGAGCGUUAAUCGGAAUUACUGGGCGUAAAGCGCGCGUAGGUGGCUUGAUAAGCCGGUUGUGAAAGCCCCGGGCUCAACCUGGGAACGGCAUCCGGAACUGUCAAGCUAGAGUGCAGGAGAGGAAGGUAGAAUUCCCGGUGUAGCGGUGAAAUGCGUAGAGGUCGGGAGGAAUACCAGUGGCGAAGGCGGCCUUCUGGACUGACACUGACACUGAGGUGCGAAAGCGUGGGUAGCAAACAGGAUUAGAUACCCCAGUAGUC
This 465-nucleotide ribosomal RNA is filed under the name Vreelandella stevensii. RNAcentral's name for it is "partial 16S ribosomal RNA". It matches the Rfam family "Bacterial small subunit ribosomal RNA", at positions 338 to 795 of the family's 1533-position model. The record is from RNAcentral. Lineage: Bacteria; Pseudomonadati; Pseudomonadota; Gammaproteobacteria; Oceanospirillales; Halomonadaceae.